AACGAACGCUGGCGGCAGGCCUAAAACAUGCAAGUCGAACGCCCCGCAAGGGGAGUGGCGCACGGGUGAGUAACGCGUGGGAACGUGCCCUUCACUACGGGACAACGUCGGGAAACUGACGCUAAUACCGUAUAAUGACUCCGGUCCAAAGAUUUAUCGGUGAAGGAGCGGCCCGCGUCUGAUUAGCUAGUUGGUGAGGUAAAGGCUUACCAAGGCUACGAUCAGUAGCAGGUCCGAGAGGAUGAUCUGCCACACUGGGACUGAGACACGGCCCAGACUCCUACGGGAGGCAGCAGUUAGGAAUAUUGGACAAUGGGCGAAAGCCUGAUCCAGCCAUGCCGCGUGUGUGAUGAAGGCCCUAGGGUAGUAAAGCACUUUCGUUGGGGAUGAUAAUGACCGUACCCAAAGAAGAAGCACCGGCUAACUUCGUGCCAGCCGCCGCCGUAA
This 447-nucleotide ribosomal RNA is filed under the name uncultured bacterium. RNAcentral's name for it is "partial 16S ribosomal RNA". It matches the Rfam family "Bacterial small subunit ribosomal RNA", at positions 29 to 523 of the family's 1533-position model. The record is from RNAcentral.